GCAGCCGGCCGGACGAGGUCGAGGUGAGCGUGACCGUGCGCCGGUCGACGGCGCUGCUAGGCGGCACUGACGCAGCACAAGAAGACGUGGUCGACGGGGUGAUGUGGUUCCGACGACCGGCGGC
RNAcentral lists this small nucleolar RNA (124 nucleotides) under Oryza punctata. Its description in RNAcentral is "Small nucleolar RNA Z206". It matches the Rfam family "Small nucleolar RNA Z206". From Rfam's summary of the family: Z206 is a member of the C/D class of snoRNA which contain the C (UGAUGA) and D (CUGA) box motifs. Most of the members of the box C/D family function in directing site-specific 2'-O-methylation of substrate RNAs. Lineage: Eukaryota; Viridiplantae; Streptophyta; Magnoliopsida; Poales; Poaceae. The record is from Rfam by way of RNAcentral.